RNAcentral lists this ribosomal RNA (921 nucleotides) under uncultured archaeon. RNAcentral describes it as "partial 16S ribosomal RNA". The record is from RNAcentral.
UGAGCUGAAGAACCGCCCNUCGACGCUAUGUCGAGCUCUUGUCUUGUCAUCGAGGGAGAGUAUAACACGGUUCUUGGUCCUAAAUAAUUCCACCAAGCCUGCNUCGCCNUCCGCAGUNUUAGAGAGAUAAAUAANGCNACGCUGGGUCCUUACACCUUACCGNAUGCUCGAUGCGCAGUCCGGCCGNGUCUCAACUACCGAUUAGCGNGAUGCCUAACGUCGGAUUUCAAAUUCGGCGCAUAUUAUAACGUUGGGCGUCUGUUAAAACACGCCUGAUAGCCAGACCAUGAGGCCGUGAUAUUUCUAUUUACAUAGUUCNUAGNACUUGGUUGCAAGAAUCUCCGCGGAGAGACGUCAACACGCAUUGAGAGUACACGUCAGCGACUUUUGUGCAAGUACCUUUGAUAANAAGUGCCGUUAAGUAGGCUUGUUUGUUCNAAGAACGUGAGAGUGCGUAAUGCAGAUNUUCCCNAGCUGUUUGCUCACGGGACAGUUGAACACAUUGCGCGUCAGCCAUCAUAGUAGUGGCAGUGGAAAUUUACGCAGCACUGAGUCAGGACAGGAACUUAGGCCCGCCCACCUUGAGUGUUAGUCAAACACACGUUGCAACUGCCUUCCAAUGGCCGACUGAAAAGACGCUCGGUUGCGAGGGAAUGGCUAAANAGCGAAGAGUAGUUUUAAGGACUAAACCCGCUUUGGGAUAAGGGUCGCCAACGGCCACCCGUUAAUACAACAGAAUUUCGUUCAAAAUCCUUGGGGAUUUCGCUCCGGGGGAGCUCCCUAUAACAGUAUAGUAGCCUAUGGAGGUGAAACCUGGCCAAGUCGUAAAAACGGCCUGAUUGCGCACGUUAUUGAAACCCCGGACCCUUGCGAGGAGGUAGAUUACCGGAGAUUCGGCCNAGAUGCAAUUUCAAAUAGAGC